AUCAAGGCCUCAUUAUACCGGAGGCCACACACAAUAUAUAAAAAAUGAACU
Molecule: non-coding RNA, 51 nt
Organism: Pelodiscus sinensis (Chinese soft-shelled turtle)
Lineage: Eukaryota; Metazoa; Chordata; Testudines; Trionychidae
Source: Rfam